UACGGAGGGUGCAAGCGUUAUCCGGAAUCACUGGGUUUAAAGGGUGCGUAGGCGGCUAGAUAAGUCAGAGGUGAAAGUUUGUCGCUUAACGAUAGAACUGCCUUUGAUACUGUUAAGCUUGAAAGUAGGUGAGGUUGGCGGAAUGUGACAUGUAGCGGUGAAAUGCAUAUAUAUGUCAUAGAACACCGAUUGCGAAGGCAGCGGGCGAUCCUGACUUUGACGAUGAGGCACGGAAGCGUGGGUAGCGAACAGG
This 253-nucleotide ribosomal RNA is filed under the name uncultured bacterium. Its description in RNAcentral is "partial 16S ribosomal RNA". It matches the Rfam family "Bacterial small subunit ribosomal RNA", at positions 524 to 776 of the family's 1533-position model. The record is from RNAcentral.